Molecule: ribosomal RNA, 468 nt
Filed under: uncultured bacterium
Lineage: Bacteria
Description: partial 16S ribosomal RNA
Rfam family: Bacterial small subunit ribosomal RNA
Source: RNAcentral
GACGAACGCUGGCGGCGUGCUUAACACAUGCAAGUCGAACGGAAAGGCCCUGCUUUUGUGGGGUGCUCGAGUGGCGAACGGGUGAGUAACACGUGAGUAACCUGCCCUUGACUUUGGGAUAACUUCAGGAAACUGGGGCUAAUACCGGAUAGGAGCUCCUGCUGCAUGGUGGGGGUUGGAAAGUUUCGGCGGUUGGGGAUGGACUCGCGGCUUAUCAGCUUGUUGGUGGGGUAGUGGCUUACCAAGGCUUUGACGGGUAGCCGGCCUGAGAGGGUGACCGGCCACAUUGGGACUGAGAUACGGCCCAGACUCCUACGGGAGGCAGCAGUGGGGAAUAUUGCACAAUGGGCGGAAGCCUGAUGCAGCAACGCCGCGUGCGGGAUGACGGCCUUCGGGUUGUAAACCGCUUUCGCCUGUAACGAAGCGUGAGUGACGGUAAUGGGUAAAGAAGCACCAGCUAACUACGUG